UGCAGUCGAACGGAACAUUAUGAGUAGCAAUACAAGUGAUGUUUAGUGGCGAACGGGUGCGUAACACGUGGAUACAUUCCGGGAAGCGGGGGAUAGCCCAGGGAAACUUGGAUUAAUACCGCAUGUGAUCGAGAGAUCAAAGACGGGGACCGAAAGGCCUGUCACUUCCCGAUUGGUCCGCGGCCUAUCAGCUAGUUGGCGGGGUAAAAGCCCACCAAGGCUACGACGGGUAGCUGGUCUUAGAGGACGACCAGCCACACUGGAACUGAGACACGGUCCAGACACCUACGGGUGGCAGCAGUCGAGAAUCUUUCACAAUGGGGGCAACCCUGAUGGAGCGACGCCGCGUGGAGGAUAAGGUCUUCGGAUUGUAAACUCCUGUCAUGUGAGAACAAGGCUGCCGGGUUAAUAACCUUGCAGAUUGAUGGUACCACAAGAGGAAGAGACGGCUAACUCUGUGCCAGCAGCCGCGGUAAUACAGAGGUCUCAAGCGUUGUUCGGAAUCACUGGGCGUAAAGGGUGCGUAGGUGGCGUGGUAAGUCAGAUGUGAAAGCCCGGGGCUCAACCUCGGAAUUGCAUCCGAUACUGCCGUGCUAGAGUACUGAAGAGGUGACUAGAAUUCUCGGUGUAGCAGUGAAAUGCGUAGAUAUCGAGAGGAAUACCAACGGCGAAGGCAGGUCACUGGGCAGUUACUGACACUGAGGCACGAAGGCCAGGGGAGCAAACGGGAUUAGAUACCCCGGUAGUCCUGGCAGUAAACGGUGCACGUUUGGUGUGGGCGCAAUCGACCGCGUCCGCGCCGGAGCUAACGCGUUAAACGUGCCGCCUGGGAAGUACGGUCGCAAGAUUAAACUCAAAGAAAUUGACGGGGACCCGCACAAGCGGUGGAGUAUGUGGCUUAAUUCGAUGCAACGCGAAGAACCCUUACCUGGUCUUGACAUGCAUUGUGUCU
RNAcentral lists this ribosomal RNA (952 nucleotides) under uncultured Verrucomicrobiaceae bacterium. RNAcentral describes it as "bacterial SSU rRNA". It matches the Rfam family "Bacterial small subunit ribosomal RNA", at positions 56 to 998 of the family's 1533-position model. The record is from RNAcentral. Lineage: Bacteria; Pseudomonadati; Verrucomicrobiota; Verrucomicrobiia; Verrucomicrobiales; Verrucomicrobiaceae.